Molecule: long non-coding RNA, 6409 nt
Organism: Acinonyx jubatus (cheetah)
Lineage: Eukaryota; Metazoa; Chordata; Mammalia; Carnivora; Felidae
Exons: 4
Source: RefSeq, a predicted model, not a curated record
CGCCUUGCUCCGCCCGGCCGGAAGUCACGCCGCUACCCUUUCCAGUUGGAUGCCAUCUUUGCUGAGGACACGCAGCUGGCUGGAAGUCACGCUGGCUGUUCCUUUCCGGACGGGUGCCGUCUUUGCUGAGGGCGCGCAGUAGGCGACGGGGAGCGGAGAGGAGAGCGUUGGACAAUGGGGGGGGGGGGGAGUGAGGGGAGGGGAACAAGGAUCCCCGUUAGCGGCAGUCGGAGGCUCGGCGCCCUCCGGCCUGCACCCCAGCGUGUGGGGUGGCUCUGGGGUGGACGGCGUCUAGGGCGGCCUGAGGUCCUGCAGGCAGUUUGCCCACAUCUUGCCGGAUUUUUUUUUUUUUUAAUAUGGAAUUUUAUGUGCAAUCUUCUGAUUUUUGAGAGUGUUGACGUUUAAUUUUGAAAAAAAUUAAAGUGCGGGUAAGCCAAGCACACGAGGCACCUGCAGUCCGUGUGCGGGCUUGAUCUCCCUUCCUGCCACGCUUUUUCACUUUCUCUGAAUUAGUAAUUGCUUUGUUUUCUGUUGUUGGAUUAAGAUUCCACGUGUUUAUUGAUUUGGGAAACAAAGGCAAGUGAAAAAUCAAAUUCCCUUACUGCCUGUGGACAAGUCCUUGAAACAGGCAGAGUGACCUCUCUCUCCCUCCUUCCUUCCCUCCCUUCCUUCCCUCCCUUCCUUCCCUCCUUCCCUCCCUCCUUCUCUCCCUCCCUUCCUUCCUUCUUCUUUUUAAUUUGUUUUGUUUUUAAUUUCUAAAAGCUUGUGUCUUGUCAUGAUUUCUGAUAUUUCUCAAUGAUGCAAGUCUCCAUCCUGAGCGCCUGAUGGGCCCUCAGCCUAAAAGCACUUGUCUUUGGGCUGGAGUUCGUUGUUGUUUAUUUGUAUUCCCUUUCUUCCAUUUUCUCUAAUCUGGCUUUCCAAAAUGCCCACGUUUGAAUACUGGCUCUUGUACACCAAUUUCUGGUUUUCCCAUCCUGUCUUUGUUAUUCUUUAUUUCUUUGCUCGACCUUCUGAGCUAUUUCCUCCUUAGCUUCCGGCUCUUCUCCUGAAGGUUCCUGUCAACACGUGUUUCUUUACCAAGAGCUCCUUUUUUGGCUUCUGAAUGUUUCUUUUUACAGUUGUUUUUUUUUUUUCUUCACUAUUGCGAUCUUUUGUCUUACUCCUGUAAGGAUUUCGAUGAUAGGGGUUUCCCCCCUGAGUUUUUCUUCUCCCUGUUUACUUGCUGUUAUUUUUUUCCUCUUGCUGUUAUUGUUCGUACUGUUUUGGUUUCUGUUCUCAGAUGUAAGGGUGGCGGAGAAGGAGCUCUCAUCUGUGCUGGUUGGAACUGCAACAUGGUGCCGUCACUUUUGAAGUUUACUAGUUUUUGUUUUGUUUGUUUUUUACAAAACUAAGCAUACUCUUACUGUCCAAUGGGCUGAAUGUUUUCUGUCCUCCAGGUUCAUACGUGGAAGCUAAUGACAGUGCUAGGAGGUGGGGUGUUUGGGAGGUCACUGGGUCAUGAGAGUGGAGGCUUCAGAAGAAACCCCAGAGAGCCCCUGGCUGUUCCACCACGUGAGAACCCAGCGAGAAGUCUAUACUACAGGACAGACAGCCCCCCUCCACCGUGCCGGCAUCCUGACCUCAGAGUUCCAGCCUCCAGAAGUGUGAGAAACAGGUUUCUGUUGUUUUGUGGCUCGGUGUUCGGGACAGCAGCGCCCUGUCGGAUGAUGUCCCCGGCCUCCUGUGGCUGGUUCAUCAGCAAACUCCUGGCCGCUGCCCGGAGACGGUUCUUCUCCUCAGUGUGCAACAACGUGAUGUGCACAUCUUGCCAGAUCUUGCAAUCCGAAUUGAUUCCAGUGGGUUCAAAGGCAUCCCGAAGGAGAGUCCUUGGGGACUGAAGAAGAGCCCAUGUUCCUGGGAGAGUAGAGAAGGCCAAGAAUUUUUACCCAGAAUCCUCCCUGACUCCCGGGUGGCAUCUCACGUGGGAUACGUCAGAGGUUCCUGGUGUCAGAUGUGGUAGGGUCUCCUCCCUAAGGAAUGUGGUGAGAAAAGGCCUCAAGAUAAGGGAAGGCAACCUGGCUGUGUGCCUACGUGACAUUCCUCAUGACCCAGUCUGUACCUGACAUCCCGCCUGCCCCUGUAACAUGAGACCCACUCACACUGUAUGUCUACACCUUCCCCACGUGUGGCAAAGAAGUAGGAAAUGCACAAAACGCUACACCUCACUGCGCUCGGGGCUCAGCUCUUCGGGUACGAACCGGUGGAGCCACGCCAGCAUGAAUAACGUUGCUUCCUGGAAAGAAAUGUCUCGGUGUCACAACUCUCUGUGUGAACCUUGGUCCUGUUACAAAAAUGACCCAAAGCGUCCCUCAAAUGAAGUUGCUACAAUCUCUGACCAGCCACUAAGGCCCCAGAGAAGAGAUGCUAGCAUCCCCCAUCUUCCCAAUAGCAUUCUAGACUCCAGAUGGGCACCGGCAUAGGGACCAAAAAACUGUGCCUUGUCUUGCCUUUUUUAACUCAUGGAAAACACUAGAAAAGCUUUACAAGAGGAACUUACCCAAUUUUGUAACUGUAGUAGUCAGUAAGGGACACCGAUGACAAACCGAAGACAGAAAUCCAUCAUGAUCUAAGUGACAUUCCCGCACAUGGAGACUCUAUAGCCGACUUCCUAGGAAACCAUCCCCGGUUGGGUUUUACUUCAAUCUGGCACUGGUUUCGGCCGGCUCCCAGUGGAGGUCCUGCAGCCAGAAGUGUCUAGACCAGAUGUGGGGGCCGGGGUGGGGGAUCAUGUGAAACCAAUGAGGAUGAAACCUCACACAGGAGUCUUAAGAUUGGCAGCUGUCCUGGUGACUUCGGUGGCUGUCCCAUGCCCAAGACAGACAACUCUGUAGAAGGACAGGAAUAAAGAGAGGGCAUCGAGUUCCUGGGUCUUAUUACCAUUCCGGCCAGGGCACUAACUUCCAGCCAAAAGUCAGGCUUUCUCCUCCCCAUGGAGUAGCCACGGGCUCAAGGACUGCAUCUGGAGGGAUCGACAGGAAAGUGUGCCAAUAAGACCACACUCCCUGAAAAUAUCCUGGAAAGAAAGUAAAGGGAGAGAGAGGAAUUACUCACCGAGUUUGCACCGACACUGAGUGCAGAUGAAAAUACUCGACGCUCUGCAUUCAGGUGCCAAAAUGAUGAGAUUAUGAACUGGGGUUCAUGAGCCAAUGGCUAAGCAAGAAUUCUUGAGACGUUUUUGAUGCAAAAAGGUGACUUUAUUACAGCACGGACGCAGGACCCACGGGCAGAGAGAGCUGCGCUGGGUUGUGAGGGGAGGCAGAUUACAUACUUUUAAGUUAGUGGAGGGAGGGGGGUAGACUUAAAGUCUGUCUCUGAGGAAUCGGAAGCAAGGCUUCCAGGACCUUGAGGGGCUGGUGCCGCGAAGAUAAGGUUACUUCCGGUCUUUAAUGAGACAAAAACAUUAAGGCACCAGGGGUGCCGUGCCUUCCUCCAGGAAGGUGACCCUCCGCACGCAUCAGGUGUCUGGGAAGGUGACCCUCUGCAUGUGUCACGUGUCCGGCAGUGGGCGGUGAGCUGUGAGGUUUCAUUGAAGCUGCAUUUCUCUUGCCUGUGUUUCCUUCCUCACUGUGUGCAGAGAAUUACACACCAGGAGCGAGUGGGGUGUGUUCCAGGGACCCCAGGCUGUUUCAGGGUGUGAAAACCAAUCCGUGUAAUCUACUGUAUUAACAGAGUAAAGAAGAAAAAUCGGGAUGGAAACUCUUGGAAAGUUAAGAAUAGAAGAGAACUUCCUGGACUUGAUAACAUUUAUCACACAAUUCCUGUCAGAAUCCCAGAAGGAUAUUUGGAAGUCAUAGACAAGGUCCGUCUAAAAUUUUCCAUUGGAAGGCAAAAUGACCCUAAUAGCAACAACAGUUUUGGGCAAGAAUCCAGAGGGAGGAAGCUGUCUACCUGCUCGAGGAUGCCUGCAGCUGUAGCAGUUGGGAUGGUGUGGAUGGACCAAGGGACAGACAUAUGGACGGUAGACAGAACACAGCAUGCAUGGGUAGCCCCGCACAGACACGGCCAACCGACCCUUUGACAAAAGUGUGAAACCAGUUCCGUGGAAGGAAGGGGGAUCUUUUCAGCUGAUGGUGCUGGAACGAGACUGCCCCCUAAAACUAUUGGGACUAAUCAGCAACUUCAGUAAAAGUGCAGGAUACACAGUCAACAUAGAGAAGUCAGUUGUGUUUCUAUAUGCUAAGCACGAAAUGUCUGACAAAUAAACAGAACAAUCCCAUUUACAAUAGCAUCCAAAGCAAUAAAUCACUCAGGAAUACAUUUACCCAAGGAGGUGAAAAAGUUUUAUACUGAAAACUGUAACACUUUAUGGGCGCCUGGGUGGCUCAGUCGGUUGAGUGUCUGACUUCGGCCCAGGUCAUGAUCUCAUGGCUUGUGGGUUCGAGUCCUGUUUUGGGCUCUGUGCUGACAUCUCGGAGCCUGGAGCCUGCUUUGGAUUCUCUGUCUCCCUCUCUCUCUGCCCCUCCCCCACUUGCACUCUGUCUCUGUCUCUCUCUAAAAAAUAAAUAGACAUUAAAAAAAGAAAAAGGAUUUCUUAGAAGUAUCCUGUGUGGGGGCGCCUGGGUGGCUUAGUUGGUUGAGCGUUCUGAUCUCAGGUCAUGAUCUCAUAGUUUUGGCUCAGGUCAUGAUCUCAUAGUUUGUGAGUUUGAGCCCCGCAUUGUGCUCUGUGCUAACAGCUUGAAGCCCGGAGCCUGCUUUAGAUUCUGUGUCUCCCUCUCUCUCUGUCCCUCUCCUGCUCAUGCUCUGUCUCUCAAAAAUACAUAAAUUAAAAAAAUUUUUUUUAAAGUAAAAAAAAAAAUCACUGAACAUGGGUUAGACACUUAAACAUGGGACCUGAGACUGUAAAAUUCCUAGCAGAAAACAUAGAUAGGAGAAAAAUUCCUUGGCGAGCGCCCUGGCAAUGUUUUGGUUGUGACAUGAAAGCACCAGCAACCGAAGCAGAAAUUCGCUGCACUGAACAGAAAGCUUCUGCACAGCGAGGGAGACCAUCCACACGGCGAGAAGGCAGCCCACAGGACAGCAGUUCCCCUUCUGGGAGCAGGAGGGCAUGGGGGAGCCGGUGCUGCAGACCGGCCCCCAGCCACGAUCUGCUGUGCCCUGUGCUCCUACGCCACAGGCUUUCCUGGAAGGCCCAGGACGCCUAAAAGCUUGGGAGUCCUUCAAGACUGUCAGGACUCUCCUCUCCCCUGAGACUCAGGGUUAACCUUGGGAUUUUCAUUGGGGGUUGCGCUGACUCUGGAAAUCAAUUUGGGAACAAUUAACACCCACGAUAAUUGAAUUUUUCAAUCCAUAAACACAUAUUUUUAGGUCUUUAAAGUUUUUCAUUAAAGUUUUGUUUAUUUAUUUUUUUCAAAUUACAUUUUCAACUUGUUAUUUUUGAUCCAGAGAGAUCCCCUGGGCCCUUCAUCAGGCUGCCCCCUAUGACCUAUUUUGGGUGGAAUUUUCUAUAUAUAAGAUAAUAUCGUCUGUAAACAGGAAAUUUCACUUUUUGCUUUCUGAUUUGGAUGUCUUUUAUUUUUUUUUCUUGCCUAAUUGCUUUGGCUAGAACUUCCAGUACCGUGUUGGAUACAAGUGGUGAGAGUGGUUGUCUGUCUCUUGUUCCUGAUCUUAGAGGAAAAGUCUUCAACCUUUCACUGGAAGCUCCAUGUGCUCUCAAGAAGAAUGCUGUUGUGCUGCUGUUGGAUGGAUGUCCUGUACGUGUCUGUCGGGUCCAUGUGAUCUAAAGUAUAGUUCAAAUCCAGGGUCGUGACGAUUGUGGGAAUGACAACAGAGGACCCAGGAUAUCAUGUGGACUUCAUGGAGGGGGCUGCAGCAGGGUCUGAGCAAUUUUGAAAGAAGUUCUGUGGGUAAAAUGUUGUCAAACGGCACCACACGCCAAAGAGAAAACUUUGGUGAAAGGAAGAGAACAUCAGUGCAGUGAACUUCCCUGUUGUCUUAUUCUGAGCAGUGGCCACGGCCACCCCGGCCUUCAGCUGCCACCACCCUGAUAGGUCGGCAGCCGCCAGCCUCGGGCAGAACCCCCGCCAGCAAAAAGAUGAUGACUUACCGGAAGCUCAGAGGAUGGUUAGCACAUUUUAGCCAUAAAGUGCUUUUAACAGUUGUUUUCUUUUAAUUUUAGAGAGAGACACUGUGAGGGCAGGGGAGAGGGGCAGAGAGAGAUAGAGAGAGACUCUUAAGCAGUCUCCAUGCUCAGGGUGGAGCCUGGCAUGGGGCCCGGUGCCACGACCCUGGGAUCAUGACCUGAGCCAAAAUCAAGAGUCAGGCGCUCAACUGACUGAGCCACCCGGGCAACCUGCAAUAAAGUAUUUUAUUUAAAAAAAUUAAAAAAAUGUUUUAUUUAUUUUUGAGAGAGAGAGAGAGAGAGUAUAAGCAG